This 474-nucleotide ribosomal RNA is filed under the name uncultured bacterium. RNAcentral describes it as "SSU rRNA". It matches the Rfam family "Bacterial small subunit ribosomal RNA", at positions 26 to 518 of the family's 1533-position model. The record is from RNAcentral.
AGAAUCAACGCUGGCGGCGUGCCUAACACAUGCAAGUCGAACGAGAAAGGGGAGCAAUCCCUGAGUAAAGUGGCGACCGGGUGAGUAACACGUGACUAACCUACCCUCGAGUGUGGAAUAACAUCGGGAAACCGAUGCUAAUACCGCAUAACAUCGGCGCUUUUAAGAGAUGCCGAUCAAAGGAGCAAUCCGCUUGAGGAGGGGGUCGCGGCUGAUUAGCUAGUUGGCGGGGUAACGGCCACCAAGGCGAAGAUCGGUAGCCGGCCUGAGAGGGCGCACGGCCACACUGGAACUGAAACACGGUCCAGACUCCUACGGGAGGCAGCAGUGGGGAAUUUUGCGCAAUGGGGGAAACCCUGACGCAGCAACGCCGCGUGGAGGAUGAAGCCCCUUGGGCGUAAACUCCUUUCGACCAAGACGAUAAUGACGGUACUGGUGGAAGAAGCACCGGCUAACUCUAGUGCCAGCAGCCGC